This 468-nucleotide ribosomal RNA is filed under the name uncultured bacterium. Its description in RNAcentral is "partial 16S ribosomal RNA". It matches the Rfam family "Bacterial small subunit ribosomal RNA", at positions 28 to 507 of the family's 1533-position model. The record is from RNAcentral.
GACGAACGCUGGCGGCGUGCUUAACACAUGCAAGUCGAACGGAAAGGCCCUGCUUUUGUGGGGUGCUCGAGUGGCGAACGGGUGAGUAACACGUGAGUAACCUGCCCUUGACUUUGGGAUAACUUCAGGAAACUGGGGCUAAUACCGGAUAGGAGCUCCUGCUGCAUGGUGGGGGUUGGAAAGUUUCGGCGGUGGGGGAUGGACUCGCGGCUUAUCAGCUUGUUGGUGGGGUAGUGGCUUACCAAGGCUUUGACGGGUAGCCGGCCUGAGAGGGUGACCGGCCACCUUGGGACUGAGAUACGGCCCAGACUCCUACGGGAGGCAGCAGUGCGGAAUAUUGCACAAUGGGCGGAAGCCUGAUGCAGCAACGCCGCGUGCGGGAUGACGGCCUUCGGGUUGUAAACCGCUUUCGCCUGUGACGAAGCGUGAGUGACGGUAAUGGGUAAAGAAGCACCGGCUAACUACGUG